AUGAACGCUGGCUGCGUGCCUAAUACAUGCAAGUCGAGCGAACAGAUGAGGAGCUUGCUCCUCUGACGUUAGCGGCGGACGGGUGAGUAACACGUGGAUAACCUACCUAUAAGACUGGGAUAACUUCGGGAAACCGGAGCUAAUACCGGAUAAUAUAUUGAACCGCAUGGUUCAAUAGUGAAAGACGGUUUUGCUGUCACUUAUAGAUGGAUCCGCGCCGCAUUAGCUAGUUGGUAAGGUAACGGCUUACCAAGGCAACAAUGCGUAGCCGACCUGAGAGGGUGAUCGGCCACGCUGGAACUGAGACACGGUCCAGACUCCUACGGGAGGCAGCAGUAGGGAAUCUUCCGCAAUGGGCGAAAGCCUGACGGAGCAACGCCGCGUGAGUGAUGAAGGUCUUCGGAUCGUAAAACUCUGUUAUUAGGGAAGAACAAAUGUGUAAGUAACUAUGCACGUCUUGACGGUACCUAAUCAGAAAGCCACGGCUAACUACGUG
This 496-nucleotide ribosomal RNA is filed under the name uncultured bacterium. Its description in RNAcentral is "partial 16S ribosomal RNA". It matches the Rfam family "Bacterial small subunit ribosomal RNA", at positions 29 to 507 of the family's 1533-position model. The record is from RNAcentral.